Lonchura striata (white-rumped munia) is the source of this 3597-nucleotide non-coding RNA. NCBI's taxonomy places the organism in Eukaryota, Metazoa, Chordata, Aves, Passeriformes, Estrildidae. The record is from RefSeq and is a predicted model, not a curated record.
ACCUUCCCCCCGAUAUUCCCUCUGGGGGAGGCCCAGCGGGACCCGCUGUGCCGCAGGGAAUACAUUGUCCUGCUCCCUCGCUGACAGGCAGUCAUGUUCGGAGUGUUUCUGGCGCUGCCCGAGGAUUGCCCCGGCUCUUGAGCAAUGGCGCGGGCGCCAGGAGGGGAACUCCAGCCACCGCAGCGCGGCGAGGAGCGAGCGGGUUCCUGCCAGACCGCAGAUCCCCAGUGAGCCAGCCACGCAGGGCUGACUGCAGCAGGAAAACGUCAUUAAUCCCUCAAGCCAAAGGAACACAGAAUAUGCAUUGGCUGAUUUCAAUUCUGAGACCGAAAUCAGUUACACAGCAGGCAUCUUCACAGAGUUACAAUUUCCCUACCACCUGUAAUCUCAAUUCACACUCCAGCUCCUGUGUACCUGUACCUGUGUGCUUGUUCCUGCUCUAUACAACCAGAUUGGAAUUUCUCAAUUGGCCCAGAGCCACAAAAGUGCACAUCUGUGCUCAGGAGAGCUCUUCAGUAGAUGAUGAGCUAGCUCUCAACAGGAAUACUUUGCUAAACUUAGUUUCAAAGAACUGCUAGGAGUGCAGUCAUCUACUGACAUAGCACUGGGAUCCCAUUUUGGAUAUGCCCAUCCAUGGUGUACACAAUUCCACAGCAACAGCAUAAGUGGUGCAAGGAUCAGGAUAAUGUGGGGUCAGUAGAGAAACACUCAGUUGUUCUAGGAAUAUCUACUCUUUCUUUUCACAUUCCCUUCACACAGACAUUUCUAUGCCUUGUUCAAUGACACCAAUUCCCGCUUUGGUCCUCUGAGUACAGAACAGCAUUAAACCCCUACCAGUCCUCCAACACCAGGUUAUAAACGACCUAAUUCUCUCAUCAUAGAAAAGCUUUCACACAGAGCAUCAUGCCUGGUCUCAGUGUUUUUCCAUUCUGUGACUGUGAACUUUGAUGCUGUAUUAUCCUUAUCUUGCCCUGUGCCGAUUCUGAAGUCUGUCCUUUGUUUAAUGCAUUCUUUCCAAGGGUGAGAGAGAACAUUUGGAAUCACUGUGCCUACAUCUCUCACACAGAGCUUGAGACAAGAACUGCACAGCUACUAUCUUUAGCUAAGCCAGACUUUAAGUCAGAAAGGUGCUUUAAAAUCAGAAUUCCCUACUGUAACCUUGAACAGUGCUAUUUGCCUGCCUAUGCACCAUGCUGGUUUUGCUUCUCUUCCCUUGCAAAAAAAAAGAGGACAGUUUGUUUAACAUAUUCUUUUGAGAAGCAAAAUGCACUGUUGCAUACCCUCCUUUUCACAUUUGCAAUAAAUAUAGAGGCAGACAAAAAAAAAUCAAAAUACUGUUAAAUACUACAAAUUACAGUGAAAAUAUAAGCCACAGUCUUUCCAUGAAAGUUAAAAAAGAAUCCUAGCAGUAAUAGGACUAGAGGAAAUGGCACAAACUGAGGGAGAUCCUUUUAGACAUCUAUGUGGCAGGAGUGAUAUUUAAAAAAUAUAUUCCAAAAUACUAAAAUCUCAUCUCUGAGUGUCAAAUGUUUUCUCCGCUAUUCAGACAUGAUUUUCUGCUAUGGAAAUACAGGAUAAAUUGACACAUGGCAGCUACUCCACAGUAUCCUCUUUUAUGUACACCCUUUAGUCUGUCAGAAGUUGAUAACUGAGGAUAUUGGGGCCUGUAAAGGAUAUUGAAUCUUGUAGACACCCAUAAAUUUGGAGUGUAUGAGAACUGGGUCAGUAGUGAUACUCAAAAGAACAAGCUUAAAGUAACACUGUGUGCUUUGAAUAUGUGUCUUUUUUCGUUAUUCUUUUUAGACACUUGGCAUUCUUCUCGUGUUUUCCCUCCUCAUGAACCUACGUCUCAUUCCCCUGAGAACUCUCACUAUUCUCUAAGUGUACACACCACACCCUUUCCUGCCUUUUCAUCUCAGCUCUCAUAACUCUAUUUCAUGCCAUGUUAGUUUCUCUUUUUUUUCUCUAUGUGAAAGCUGCUGCAUGCUGAGCAAUUCAGUACAUUUCCCUUCUCCCUGACCCUCAAACCCCUUUCCAGUAUUUCCUACAACAGAGUAUGCAACAAUUAAGUCACAGUGUAUUAAUUCAAGGACUUCUCAAAUGUAAUCUACCUUUUCAGGGGCAGUAGCCACAGUUAUCAAUGAAGGGACUUACAUUUCGUAAAAGCAACUCUUUUGCAGUCUUGGCACACUUCUUCAUAAGGCAUCUGACAUAAUUUAACCCUUUGCUUGCACGCUACAAAUGUGUGCAUUUUGUAUGUAUGUAUUUGCUAUUUUAAAUAUAUAAUUCAGUAUCAGAAAAUGUUCUCCUGAUAUGGUCAAAUGCUUAUGUCUGCAAAUAAAGUGUAUUUGAGUUAUUGUACAAGGUAUUAAGUAUGUUGAAGUUAAUUUGACAGUCAUAUAUGCUUAAAUGCAUUGUGUUUUCAGGGUGUUAAUUUGAAAUCUGACUUUUUGCUUAGUCAAACUCUUAGAGUGUUCCCAACACUUCAGUACAACCAGCAGCUUCUAACAGAUACCAUAGAAACCUUCAGAAAAUAUUUACCAUAAUUUUUCUUAUGUCCUUUUCCCUUUCUGGAGCAACAUUUAUAAUUCUGCAGUGGUCUAAGACUAGGACUUGAUAUAUAUACUCCAGAGCAAAAGAUUAUUUGAGUUAAAUACCCCUGUAAAAGUCCUACUUCAACAAAAAAGGUUAUAUUUCGACAUGAAAAACUGGUAGUAUUUGGUAGAGAGUUUGUAUUAAUUUAUUAACAUCAGUGUGGGCUUUUUAAUUUUCUAAUUUAUCUUUUUUCUGAGAGGAAAAUCAAGCCUGUUAAAGGGCUAUUGCUACAUAAUUCUUAACAGCUGAGAAACAGAAAUAGGUUAUAUAAGGAGCAGUUGUUGUACUGCACAUUUUCUAUAAAGUUGUCACAUGAAAAACAUACUUGUCAAGUUAUUCAAUUUAUAGACUUAUUGAAGAUUUACAGCCACUCAAGAUGCUUACAGUACUCACAGGUGGCAUAACUGUGCACGAGGCAGAGUGCCAAACAAAUAGCAGUAGUAACUGUUCAACAGUGUGUGGUGUUUGCAAUAGAUCAGGGUGAUGUGUAUCAGUUUACUUACAAAUGUAAUACAUUUGAUUUCACUUCCAUUCCAAAACACUUACUUGACCUGAGACUUGGCAUGCUAUGCUCCAACUCAAGACCAGCCUAUUUAAUAAACUGACAAAUGCUCUUUAACAGGAGCUAAUAAUGGAAACAUGUUCACUGUGAACUACUACUCAACUCUACAAAAAUUCUGGAUAGCUUUUUUGCCCUGAGAGUUGUUCAUAGCUGAAAUAAUUCCUGUGCUUAUAAUGGCAUUUGCACUGCUCUCCAAAAUGUUUGAGCACUCCCCCAUCUGUGGUCUAACUGCAGCACUUCUGCACAGCUAAAUCUUAUUUCAGACAGAAAAGGCAAAAUGCUGACAAGACAAAAAAAGAAAUGUUCUCCCAUGACUACUCUGCUGUGAAAAUGUUUCUUUGUCUUUUCUGGGAUCAUAUCUUGUUUUAUGUGGAGACAUUGUUAAGAAAGAAAACAUUUUUAGGAACUUGAAGAAAUAAAUUCAUUUGUAGUCUCCUUCA